This 62-nucleotide transfer RNA is filed under the name Lycosa sp. RNAcentral's name for it is "tRNA-Leu". Lineage: Eukaryota; Metazoa; Arthropoda; Arachnida; Araneae; Lycosidae. The record is from RNAcentral.
AUUAUAUUGGCAGAAUAAUGCAUUAGAAUUAGAAUCUAAUCAACUAUUAUAUAUAUAUAUUC